This 613-nucleotide ribosomal RNA is filed under the name Pseudoeurycea lineola. Its description in RNAcentral is "partial 16S ribosomal RNA". The stretch from base 41 to 156 matches the Rfam family "Bacterial large subunit ribosomal RNA", at positions 714 to 852 of the family's 2925-position model. The record is from RNAcentral. Lineage: Eukaryota; Metazoa; Chordata; Amphibia; Caudata; Plethodontidae.
CUAACAAGUCAAACCUUACAAAAAGAAUUUAGCAAGACCCCCCGAAACUAGACGAGCUACCCUAAGGCAGUAUACGAACGAACCCUCCUCUGUAGCAAAAGAGCGGGAAGACCUUAAGGUAGAGGCAAUAAACCUAACGCGCCUAGAUAUAGCUGGUUGCUUGAGAAAGAAUUUAAGUUCACAUAAAAGCAGCAAUACCAACAAGGAAAAAACUACCUUUUACUUUAAUCAAUUGAGUUACAGCUCAAUUAAUAAGGGAAACAACCCAAAUAAAUGAAUAAUGAUUAUAAAACACAAGAAAUUAUAAGCCUAGUAGGCCUAAAAGCAGCCAUCAAAAUAGCGUUAAAGCUUAACUCAAACAAUAUCACCCAUCCCAAUAAAUAAUCUUAAUUCAAUAAAACAAUCAAGCUAAUCUAUUAAUAGAUAAACUACUGCUAGAAUAAGUAAUAAGGAUUGUACCCUCUACAUACAAACGUAAAUCAGAACGAACAACCACUGAUAAUUAAUGAAUAUAUUAACAAGACCAAGAAUCAAUAAUAAAAAUCAUUAACCCAACACAGGAGUAUUAAAGAAAGACUUAAAGCUUAGAAAGGAACUCGGCAAACCCAGGCUU